Molecule: ribosomal RNA, 458 nt
Filed under: Streptococcus sp. oral taxon 058
Lineage: Bacteria; Bacillati; Bacillota; Bacilli; Lactobacillales; Streptococcaceae
Description: bacterial SSU rRNA
Rfam family: Bacterial small subunit ribosomal RNA
Source: RNAcentral
GACGAACGCUGGCGGCGUGCCUAAUACAUGCAAGUAGAACGCUGAAGAGAGGAGCUUGCUCUUCUUGGAUGAGUUGCGAACGGGUGAGUAACGCGUAGGUAACCUGCCUGGUAGCGGGGGAUAACUAUUGGAAACGAUAGCUAAUACCGCAUAAUAUUGACUAUUGCAUGAUAGUUGAUUAAAAGGUGCAAUUGCACCACUACCAGAUGGACCUGCGUUGUAUUAGCUAGUUGGUGGGGUAACGGCUCACCAAGGCGACGAUACAUAGCCGACCUGAGAGGGUGAUCGGCCACACUGGGACUGAGACACGGCCCAGACUCCUACGGGAGGCAGCAGUAGGGAAUCUUCGGCAAUGGACGGAAGUCUGACCGAGCAACGCCGCGUGAGUGAAGAAGGUUUUCGGAUCGUAAAGCUCUGUUGUAAGAGAAGAACGAGUGUGAGAGUGGAAAGUUCACACU